This 253-nucleotide ribosomal RNA is filed under the name uncultured bacterium. RNAcentral describes it as "partial 16S ribosomal RNA". It matches the Rfam family "Bacterial small subunit ribosomal RNA", at positions 524 to 776 of the family's 1533-position model. The record is from RNAcentral.
UACGAAGGGUGCAAGCGUUACUCGGAAUUACUGGGCGUAAAGCGUGCGUAGGUGGUUGUUUAAGUCUGCUGUGAAAGCCCUGGGCUCAACCUGGGAAUUGUAGUGGAUACUGGGCGACUAGAGUGUGGUAGAGGAUAGUGGAAUUUCCGGUGUAGCAGUGAAAUGCGUAGAGAUCGGAAGGAACAUCUGUGGCGAAGGCGACUAUCUGGGCCAACACUGACACUGAGGCACGAAAGCGUGGGGAGCAAACAGG